Molecule: unclassified non-coding RNA, 151 nt
Filed under: uncultured Mycosphaerellaceae
Lineage: Eukaryota; Fungi; Ascomycota; Dothideomycetes; Mycosphaerellales; Mycosphaerellaceae
Description: sequence contains ITS2
Source: RNAcentral
CACCACUCAAGCCUAGCUUGGUAUUGGGCGUCGCGGCGUCAAGUCGCGCGCCUCAAAGUCUUUCCGGCUGAGCUGUCCGUCUCCCAGCGUUGUGAUCUAAUCGAAUCGCUACGGAGUUUGAACAGCCGCGGCCGUUAAAUCUUUCUUAACA